RNAcentral lists this transfer RNA (79 nucleotides) under Hyphomicrobiales bacterium. Its description in RNAcentral is "Rhizobiales bacterium (stromatolite metagenome) tRNA-Pro". It matches the Rfam family "tRNA". From Rfam's summary of the family: Transfer RNA (tRNA) molecules are approximately 80 nucleotides in length. Their secondary structure includes four short double-helical elements and three loops (D, anti-codon, and T loops). Lineage: Bacteria; Pseudomonadati; Pseudomonadota; Alphaproteobacteria; Hyphomicrobiales. The record is from RNAcentral.
CAGCGCGUGGGGAAGUCUGGCCGUUCCCGUCGUCCUUGGAAGUCGAAGCUCGUUGGUUCAAAUCCAACCGCGCUGACCA